This 454-nucleotide ribosomal RNA is filed under the name uncultured organism. RNAcentral describes it as "partial 16S ribosomal RNA". It matches the Rfam family "Bacterial small subunit ribosomal RNA", at positions 329 to 799 of the family's 1533-position model. The record is from RNAcentral.
ACGUACACUCCUACGGGAGGCAGCAGUGGGGAAUAUUGGACAAUGGGCGCAAGCCUGAUCCAGCCAUGCCGCGUGAGUGAUGAAGGCCCUAGGGUUGUAAAGCUCUUUCACCGGUGAAGAUAAUGACGGUAACCGGAGAAGAAGCCCCGGCUAACUUCGUGCCAGCAGCCGCGGUAAUACGAAGGGGGCUAGCGUUGUUCGGAUUUACUGGGCGUAAAGCGCACGUAGGCGGACUAUUAAGUCAGGGGUGAAAUCCCGGGGCUCAACCCCGGAACUGCCUUUGAUACUGGUAGUCUUGAGUUCGAGAGAGGUGAGUGGAAUUCCGAGUGCAGAGGUGAAAUUCGUAGAUAUUCGGAGGAACACCAGUGGCGAAGGCGGCUCACUGGCUCGAUACUGACGCUGAGGUGCGAAAGCGUGGGGAGCAAACAGGAUUAGAAACCCCUGUAGUCCCAUG